RNAcentral lists this long non-coding RNA (1041 nucleotides) under Pan paniscus (pygmy chimpanzee). RNAcentral's name for it is "lncRNA (ENSPPAG00000045633.1)". Lineage: Eukaryota; Metazoa; Chordata; Mammalia; Primates; Hominidae. The record is from RNAcentral.
AGAAUACAGGAAACUUAGGCAAAUUGUUGCACCACAUGGAUAUGAGAAAUAAUGAAUAUUAUUUACUCGGAUUCAGGAAACAUAUAUCCAAGCUGAGCAAUUUAGGACACUUCACUGAAGAGACAGAGACAUGAGGUGUACAUUCAACUGAAGUGUCACUGUAAUUGUGUACCUUCUCAGUUACUGGGCAAGUUAAUGAACAUGAUGAAUGUUUGCAGUAUAAUGGUGUAAAUCAUUUGGAUAUCUUGCAUAAAAGACAAGUGGGUGCAUGUGCCACCUGCUUUGAGAUUUUCCCAGGUGAUUGAGUUUCCCCUCUGAUUUUUGAUCACAUUUGUCGUGAUCACUUGGGAUACCCUUUUUGAUAUUGACACUAAUUUAUUUUCUUUUAGAUAUACGAGAAAUCAUAUUAUGUUUGAAAUAGUUAGGAAUAUAUCGUGACACAUCAAUGCCUGUUUUCUUUAGUAUAUUUCUGUCAUGCUCCUGGCUUAAGACAUAAAGUAGAAAACAUCAAAGCCUACACUAAUACAGGCAGGCGGAUACAGCUUGAUGCUAACACCGCAUGAAUGUAUGGAAAACUUUAUCAUAUUUACAUAUGAGUGAUUAUCCCUUUUGCUUUUCAGUGUCUUCUCAGAAACAACCAGCCUUGAAGGUAAUUAAACUUUCAUUUAUAUUGUGAACAAGUAAAUCUAUAGUCUAUGAAACAUGCUUCAUUUAUUUAUUUAUUUAUUAUUUUCUUUCAAAUUCCAUUCAGGCUACAACUGACGAGGAAGAUUCUGUUUCGAAUAUAGCCACAGAAAUAAAGGAUGGAGAAAAAUCUGGGACAGUGUCUUCUCAGAAACAACCAGCCUUGAAGGCUACAACUGACGGGGAAGAUUCUGUUUCGAUUAUAGCCACAGAAAUAAAGGAUGGAGAAAAAUCUGGGACAGGUAUCAGCAAACAGAUAUCCAAGGUGAUCAAUUCAGGACACUUCCACUGAAGAGAUGUGAAGUUGUCUUCUCGGCAAAAAGCAGCCUUGAAGGUAAUAAAACUCUCAUUUAUAUU